GGCUUAAUGGGUUGCACAAAGACCAAGCCAGGAUGAGCAGACACGGAUUCAUCAAGCCAGGUGAAACCAAUCCUGGAUCAGUGCGCGCACGCGGCUUCCUCAAAUAGACCCCGCCAUUGAUCACAGAUUCACCGAUUCACCAUGGCAACGAGAGCAGCGUACUUUACCCCGUCGGAGGCAGAAAUCCUCAUGGAGGCUUACGAAGAGGUAAAGGAUCAAAUCAUAAAGAAAGGCAACACCGCCACAGUAAUAAAACAACGAGAGAAAGCGUGGCAAAGUUGCAGGCGGCCUGAAUGCAUGGUCUGCGAUGCUGACUAUCUGAUCAGCAAUGUUGUGGCAAAGUGGCCCGGCCCAGUCCAUGACUCCUGAGUCUUUCGGACCUCUGGAAUCUAUCAGUGCCUAUCACAAGGUGAAUUCUCUGGUGUGUUGCUGGGGGACAGGGGGUAUGCCUGCCAGCCUUUUCUCCUCACACCAUACAUAGACCCUCAGGAAGCACAGCAGGCCCAUAAUCAUGCCCAUGCCAGGACAAGGGCCAGGAUCGAAAUGACCUUUGGCCUCCUGAAGGCACGCUUUCACUGUCUUAACCACUUAAGGGUCAGCCCUUUAAGGGUAUGUGACAUCACUAUGGCCUGUGCUGUCCUCCACAAUGUGGCCUGCCUGAGGAAGGAGAGGGCCCCCAGAGUGCCAUCACACAUGGACUGGGACAAUCCUGCCAUCUUCCCUGAUGACGACAGUGGUCGGCUGGUCAGGGACCAAUAUGUGUUAAAUUAUUUUAGUUAACAUGCAUGCAUUAAAUUUAAGUUAAAUAUGUCCUGCAGUGGCAGAGACGCAUGCUGUGAAUUUCAGUUAAAUAUGGCCUGCAUUGGCAGAGGAAUUUGUUUUUUUUUAUUCAAUUUAAAUUGAUUUGGCCUCUUAUGUUGUUUGUGCUGUAUACUGUGUGUAUACAAGCUUGCAGGGAGGCUACUGCAUCCAUUCAUUUGUCUGUUCAUUUGUUGUGUAUGGAUUUGUCCUGCAUUUAUUUCAGUGUGCAGACAUGCGGGGUGUAUCAUAUACAGACCUUUGAAUGUGUAUUUAUUCUUGUGUUGUAUAAUAUGCUUUGAUUCCGUGCUUUCUAUCUUGUAGAGUCACUGUGUGACUUCAGUUUUGAAAGGAGCUCAUGGUUUACUUGCUUUGAUUUAUCCUUAUUCAAUAAAGGAACAUCAUGUUA
This is a long non-coding RNA of Epinephelus moara (kelp grouper), 1207 nucleotides long. RefSeq lists it as uncharacterized. The record is from RefSeq and is a predicted model, not a curated record. The transcript is spliced from 3 exons. NCBI's taxonomy places the organism in Eukaryota, Metazoa, Chordata, Actinopteri, Perciformes, Serranidae.